CCUGGAAAACAGUUUAAUCUAACAUUUAAAUUAAAUAAUUUGAUUAUUUAUGCAUUUACUUUAUUUUCCCCUAUUUUUAAUAAGUAGCAGACUGUUGCCUGUUUAUGCAGGUUUUACUUACACGUAUUUACUUAGGAAUACACAAACAUGAAAAUUUGGGCCAUUGUUAAUGUUGAAUAUUCAUAUUAAGGUUAAUAACUAACCUUAAUUGAUAAAUAAAUUUGCCUGUAAGUCUUAAUAAUAUUGACCCAGUUUUACGUAUCAGAGUGAUGCGAUAAAAAAUGGCCAACAUCAGCCGGUACAGAUCGAGCAUUACUGUUCUUAUUUUACUACUUUAUUUUUAUACCUUUAUGAUUUUUUUCCCCCAAACAUGUAUUACUUAUUUACUUUACAUCUAAUUUUACGUUUUAUUCUUUAAUGUUUCUUUAUGAAUUAAUAGUAAUGGAACUAAAUUUCUAUAUGAGUUUUUUAACGAGUCUGUUAAUUUUUCUAACUUAUUUUCAGCUUUUAAUCUUUGAAAACACUUUUAGUUGCACCAUGCUGCACAAAAUGAGCCUUAAAUGUUUAUUCAUUGGUUUAUUGAAUGGAGAAAAUGCGUUUUUAAAUUUUGUGGAUAAAUUUAAAAAUGAUUGAUGAUGCUUGUUCUGCCUGAGGUUGGUAAACUGGGCUUUGGUGGUAAACUGGGCCGUGGUGGUAAACUGGGCCGUGGUGGUAAACUGGGCUUUGGUGGUAAACUGGGCCGUGGUGGUAAACUGGGCCUUGGUGGUAAACUGGGCCUUGGUGGUAAACUGGGCCGUGGUGGUAAACUGGGCCGUGGUGGUAAACUGGGCCGUGGUGGUAAACUGGGCCGUGGUGGUAAACUGGGCCGUGGUGGUAAACUGGACCUGGACGGACCCAGAGGCGUCUGUUCUGCAUGAGGCUCAGUAGAAGCAACCUGCGGGUGAAAGUGGCUCCACUAGGUGCUGAUCAGAUGUGCUGUAAACAACUGGAUGUGGUUAAAUUUGGGCGGACUAGCCCUUUAAUCCAGCAUUACAUCACUAACCCCCCCCACCCGUCCCCCAGCCUCUCCGCCCUCCCCCGUGGUGGAGCGCAUGCCGCAGCGGAGCGACACUCCCCCUGAAAACAGCUGCACCUCUGCUCUGGGUUUUACGGUAGCUGGGAUCACGGAGUUUGAGCAGGAGGGGGCGGAGCCUGCACGCUGCUAGUCUGCGGCUGUUGUUGUUGUGAGACGGUGGAGGAAGCCGAGCCGAGCCGAGCCGAGCCGAGCGCGGCAGAACCGGGCUGCGUGACUGCAGAACGCGGCUCUAGGGAAGUGAUGGAAACCUUGAAAAGACGGAACCGACCCACUGAUGCACCGGCAUGGAAGAGCUUCAACCUGCAGAUGGAAACAUCAAGAACCUCCAACCAACGUUUUAACCAACCAAGGUUCAGACCCAACUCCGGAUCACUGAACUGGGUUGGUUCUGCUGGAUCGGCUGCAAAGAAAUGGAACAACUCAGGAAAUGAGCUUUGAGACUGAACAAAGAAACCAAAACUGAGCUGAAAACAUCAAUUAAAAUCUAGAUUUCAGGUGAAACAUUAAACAGAAUCACCUGGAAAUCAUUCAGUCUGAGUUCCUGAGAGGUGAUGGGAGCAGCAUCAUUCAACCUCAUGUUACCAUGGAGACGUGUUGCUGCCAACAUCCAUGAUGACCCAGAGGAGGGAGUGUGUCUCAGAUGAGAGCCAACUUCCUGCACACACACUUCCUGGUUCCCUUCAACCUCAGUCCAAGGAGAAAUUAGAGCGGCUGUUGUCUGAGCCUUGGCCAGCAGGGGGCGUCACAGAACAGAGGAGGAAGAGCUCCGAACUGAUUCUUCUUCUAUUAAUGUCGUUUCUGCUUGGAUUGUUGGAAUACUUUUUAAAAAUCUGACACAAUUUUAUUUUCCAUUUUAUCAGGAAAGUUUUCGAUGUUAAAAUGAUUCAGAGGCUUUUUGAAAAACAUCCUUCAUUGUGUAAUGAAUAAAGACACACUCACAAUAAAGACACACUCACAAUAAAGACACACACACAAUAAAGACACACACACAAUAAAGACACACACACAAUAAAGA
This is a long non-coding RNA of Xiphophorus couchianus (Monterrey platyfish), 2090 nucleotides long. RefSeq lists it as uncharacterized. The transcript has 3 exons. The record is from RefSeq and is a predicted model, not a curated record. NCBI's taxonomy places the organism in Eukaryota, Metazoa, Chordata, Actinopteri, Cyprinodontiformes, Poeciliidae.